This is a long non-coding RNA of Dermacentor silvarum, 600 nucleotides long. RefSeq lists it as uncharacterized. The transcript has 3 exons. The record is from RefSeq and is a predicted model, not a curated record. NCBI's taxonomy places the organism in Eukaryota, Metazoa, Arthropoda, Arachnida, Ixodida, Ixodidae.
GAACGUCGCCCCCGAGGGCUCCGAUGUCGCUGCGCAUGCGUGAGCUGAGAGAAGGUGAGAAAGGAGAACAACUCUCCUUUGCCGGAUGUGACGUCACAUUAUUGUUUGUUUUUUGCUUUUUGAAAUAGCUACUCUCGAACUCAGACACUAUGGUUCGCGCCUCGUUCGCGCGCGCAUUGUGAGCAUUCAAGUUUCGUUUUUUGCACUUGCUUAGUAGCUGAAAUUGCGGACAUUGCAGGGUUGGGCUUGAUGACAUUUGUUGCUCAGCUGCCGCGACACAUUUGGAGCAAAGCUUCUGCUUAUUUCCUUUGGCCGCACCUUAUAUUUGUUGUCUUUGUCAACAUCUGACCUGUUUCUGCCUUGUUGAAAGCAAGUGGCCACAAGUACUGCUUAGUUUGCUCAGUCUAAACCUGGUAGUGCAUCCAGUUUAGCGCCGUGCACAUGUGUACGGACGCGUGCACGGACGUAACGCUGCUGCCCAUCGCGAGUCGUAAGCGAAAAAAAAGGCCGACUGAAAAAAAACAACAAGAAAUAUAAUAAGCUGCACGAUCAACAGAUUUUUGAAGAGACCGUUUCAACAGAGAUAUCUGAAGCAGAUCG